RNAcentral lists this ribosomal RNA (263 nucleotides) under uncultured Lactobacillus sp. Its description in RNAcentral is "partial 16S ribosomal RNA". It matches the Rfam family "Bacterial small subunit ribosomal RNA", at positions 278 to 525 of the family's 1533-position model. Lineage: Bacteria; Bacillati; Bacillota; Bacilli; Lactobacillales; Lactobacillaceae. The record is from RNAcentral.
GAUGCAUAGCCCGAGUUGAGAGACUGAUCGGGCCACAUUGGGGACUGAGACACGGGCCCAAACUCCUACGGGAGGCAGCAGGUAAGGGAAUCUUCCACAAUGGACAAAGUCUGAUGGAGCAAACGCCGCGUGAGUGAAGAAGGUUUUCGGAUCGUAAAGCUCUGUUGUUGGUGAAGAAGGAUAGAGGUAGUAACUGGCCCUUUAUUUGACGGUAAUCAACCAGAAAGUCACGGGCUAACUACGUGCCAGCAGCCGCGGUAAAU